RNAcentral lists this ribosomal RNA (1562 nucleotides) under Escherichia coli. RNAcentral describes it as "partial 23S ribosomal RNA". It matches the Rfam family "Bacterial large subunit ribosomal RNA", at positions 1039 to 2585 of the family's 2925-position model. Lineage: Bacteria; Pseudomonadati; Pseudomonadota; Gammaproteobacteria; Enterobacterales; Enterobacteriaceae. The record is from RNAcentral.
CUAAGGUCCCAAAGUCAUGGUUAAGUGGGAAACGAUGUGGGAAGGCCCAGACAGCCAGGAUGUUGGCUUAGAAGCAGCCAUCAUUUAAAGAAAGCGUAAUAGCUCACUGGUCGAGUCGGCCUGCGCGGAAGAUGUAACGGGGCUAAACCAUGCACCGAAGCUGCGGCAGCGACGCUGAUGCGUUGUUGGGUAGGGGAGCGUUCUGUAAGCCUGUGAAGGUGUGCUGUGAGGCAUGCUGGAGGUAUCAGAAGUGCGAAUGCUGACAUAAGUAACGAUAAAGCGGGUGAAAAGCCCGCUCGCCGGAAGACCAAGGGUUCCUGUCCAACGUUAAUCGGGGCAGGGUGAGUCGACCCCUAAGGCGAGGCCGAAAGGCGUAGUCGAUGGGAAACAAGUUAAUAUUCCUGUACUUGGUGUUACUGCGAAGGGGGGACGGAGAAGGCUAUGUUGGCCGGGCGACGGUUGUCCCGGUUUAAGCGUGUAGGCUGGUUUUCCAGGCAAAUCCGGAAAAUCAAGGCUGAGGCGUGAUGACGAGGCACUACGGUGCUGAAGCAACAAAUGCCCUGCUUCCAGGAAAAGCCUCUAAGCAUCAGGUAACAUCAAAUCGUACCCCAAACCGACACAGGUGGUCAGGUAGAGAAUACCAAGGCGCUUGAGAGAACUCGGGUGAAGGAACUAGGCAAAAUGGUGCCGUAACUUCGGGAGAAGGCACGCUGAUAUGUAGGUGAAGUCCCUCGCGGAUGGAGCUGAAAUCAGUCGAAGAUACCAGCUGGCUGCAACUGUUUAUUAAAAACACAGCACUGUGCAAACACGAAAGUGGACGUAUACGGUGUGACGCCUGCCCGGUGCCGGAAGGUUAAUUGAUGGGGUCAGCGCAAGCGAAGCUCUUGAUCGAAGCCCCGGUAAACGGCGGCCGUAACUAUAACGGUCCUAAGGUAGCGAAAUUCCUUGUCGGGUAAGUUCCGACCUGCACGAAUGGCGUAAUGAUGGCCAGGCUGUCUCCACCCGAGACUCAGUGAAAUUGAACUCGCUGUGAAGAUGCAGUGUACCCGCGGCAAGACGGAAAGACCCCGUGAACCUUUACUAUAGCUUGACACUGAACAUUGAGCCUUGAUGUGUAGGAUAGGUGGGAGGCUUUGAAGUGUGGACGCCAGUCUGCAUGGAGCCGGCCUUGAAAUACCACCCUUUAAUGUUUGAUGUUCUAACGUUGACCCGUUAUCCGGGUUGCGGACAGUGUCUGGUGGGUAGUUUGACUGGGGCGGUCUCCUCCUAAAGAGUAACGGAGGAGCACGAAGGUUGGCUAAUCCUGGUCGGACAUCAGGAGGUUAGUGCAAUGGCAUAAGCCAGCUUGACUGCGAGCGUGACGGCGCGAGCAGGUGCGAAAGCAGGUCAUAGUGAUCCGGUGGUUCUGAAUGGAAGGGCCAUCGCUCAACGGAUAAAAGGUACUCCGGGGAUAACAGGCUGAUACCGCCCAAGAGUUCAUAUCGACGGCGGUGUUUGGCACCUCGAUGUCGGCUCAUCACAUCCUGGGGCUGAAGUAGGUCCCAAGGGUAUGGCUGUUCGCC